Megalobrama amblycephala (Wuchang bream) is the source of this 1776-nucleotide long non-coding RNA. RefSeq lists it as uncharacterized. The record is from RefSeq and is a predicted model, not a curated record. Lineage: Eukaryota; Metazoa; Chordata; Actinopteri; Cypriniformes; Xenocyprididae. The transcript has 6 exons.
UGCACUCAGAUGGACCUGUUCCACAAGGUUUUACAGGAAUGGUCUCCCAAUUUAAGGAACUGGCAAUAGAUGAGUUUGUCAUCAACACAUCAGAGAGUGACAGAUGUAUCAAGAUGAUUUUCUAUAAAAAAGCAGUCCAAACACUAUUAUUGCCAUUUCUUCUUGCCCAUCGUCUGCCAUGUUUGUUAACUCUAAAGUCAUGUUUGACCGUGUUCAGAAUCAGGAAUCUGUUUGUGUGUGGUGUGCUGUCUUGAUCACAUCACAUCACUUGACACACUAUAGGAACAAAACAGUUAAAUCUAUAAUUUUCUAACAUUUUGAAAAUCUGAUAAGAUUUAGAAAAUCUUUUAGUGUGGGCCAGCCUUAAGGUACACUGUGCAGAAGUGCAUCCAGUUGCCUUUGGAGGUUGGUUUUGUUGUCAUUCCCCUACUUAAUGCAGAAGAAGUCUUAAAUUGCAGUUUUAGCAUGGCGUUGUGGUAGUCAUUAAGACUGAGAUAUUUUAGAUAGACCAAAAUUUUUAUCUUGAGGAAAAUUAUUGUUAAUUUAUGUGCAGAUCAUCAUCAUAUUUAGACAAUGGUGACAGUGUCCAGACUGCCAUCUUUUUCUCUGUAGGUGCAUAUACUCAUAUUUGUACUAUUAUUAUCUUGGGCUUGGAACUUGUUAAUAAAGACUUGCGUGCACUCUUUCUUUUAUAGGCCAUGUUUUACAUUGUAGAGUUUCUGGAAACCCAAGAGGUUGGAGUGGUACCAGCACUUGUGGGUUGAAGAUGAAAUCUGUCAGUGGCCAACUCACUACAAACCUGAUGAAUUAGUAAAAGCCAUAUGAAAUGAGGAGCAGCCUGGGCACAAAUGAGAUGCAUAUUGUGUUGGAAUUUUAUAAAAAGCAGGUAUGUACAUAAUUUUUUAUUUUUAUAGCAACCUACAAAACUGCUUGUCUAAAACUUCCUCAAGUGGAAACCCACACUGACCUUCAAACAGCAGAGGAAGAUGACGAGGAUGCCAAUCCAAAGAAAAAGUGGAAAAGGCUGUCCUCAAGCUACGGUAGCCACAAGAGGUAUUGCUGUGGGCAACAACACAUCCAAGGUUCUUUCGCUCUGCUCAGUUUCAACGUGGCAAAUCCUGAUGACUCCACCUACCUCCCCAGCAUAUCUGAAUUGUUUGACACCACCAGUGAACAAGCACCAAACAAGACACCGCAGGACAGAGUGAAAUACUUGAUAUAUGAGGAGUGCCUACUUGAGCUUUUUAAAAUCUGUCCCACCUGCUCAAGAGUCAGCAAGGUGCUCAAUGUAAUGCAUGCGAGAACCUUCAGCAGAAUGACACAUCGAAAUCAUGUGCAUAAAUACAUUCUGCCUUUCGUGCUGUAUAAAUGGCGAUCACACCAGACCAACCUGCUUGAUGGACGAUAACAGAACGAAACUGUAUCUCUUGGUGGUGAUAUGAGAGCUGACAGUUCAGGCCAUUGUGCAAAAUAUGGCUCAUACUCCAUGGAUCUCAGCAUAAUCAAAAUUGUUCAUAUCCAGCUCAUACAGAGUAAUGAAGUGGGAAGCAGUGUCCGUAUGGAAAAGGAAGGGCUUAUCCGGAGUCUGGAAUUUUGAAAAAUCUGGUGUCAAAAUAGCUUCCCUGGUGACAGACUGACACACCCGGGUUUAAAAGUUUGCCUGGGAACAGACCACUUUUAUGAUGUAUGGCAUUUAUGUAAAACACUCACCAAGAAAGCAGACACCAUCUCCAAGGAGAAGAAAUGCAACAAGAUCAAAAUGUUGCAAAAGAGCAU